GUAGGUGGCAAGCGUUGUCCGGAAUUAUUGGGCGUAAAGCGCGCGCAGGCGGUUCUUUAAGUCUGAUGUGAAAGCCCACGGCUCAACCGUGGAGGGUCAUUGGAAACUGGAGAACUUGAGUACAGAAGAGGAAAGCGGAAUUCCACGUGUAGCGGUGAAAUGCGUAGAGAUGUGGAGGAACACCAGUGGCGAAGGCGGCUUUCUGGUCUGUAACUGACGCUGAGGCGCGAAAGCGUGGGGAGCAAACAGGGAUUAGAUACCCUGGUAGUCCACGCCGUAAACGAUGAGUGCUAAGUGUUAGGGGGGGUUUUCCGCCCCCCUUAGUGCUGCAGCUAACGCACUAAGCACUCCGCCUGGGGAUACGGCCGCAAGGCUG
This 376-nucleotide ribosomal RNA is filed under the name uncultured organism. RNAcentral describes it as "partial 16S ribosomal RNA". It matches the Rfam family "Bacterial small subunit ribosomal RNA", at positions 527 to 896 of the family's 1533-position model. The record is from RNAcentral.